GGCCGCGGCUGGGCGGCUAGUUCAAGUUGCCAUAGCUGCGAGUCUAGGGUGUGAGGAGUCCGUUGCGCCGCUGCGUUUGGUCAGUUGCACCUUCUGGGUCUCUGGCAGCCGCGGGAGCCAGGUGAAGCCUCGGCGAUGAUCCGGCUUUAAGGACCUGGCGUCGUCUUGUCUCAGGUGGUUUGUGGAAGGUGUGGGGCAACCAAAGAUCAUCUACUUAACUAGACCUUUUGCCCUGAAUCUCAUGAAGAAAUGAAAAGAGGCAGGUAUAUGUGCCUAAGAAAAGCACUGAGCUCAGGAGAGAGCAACGCGGAGUUUUGGGGGUGUGCUUUGGUUUGUGUGCAUCAAUGGCGGAUUCAUCCAGUGAUUCAGAGCACUUCCGCUAUAGUGACCGAGUGAGUCGAUGGGCGGCCAGGUCAUGUCGCAGGGAAACUCGGAGUCAUCCUACCAUAGACGUCACAGAGAAGGUCAACAUCAUAACAAGUACUUUACGGGACACCAGUCGGAACCUGCAACAAGUGGACCAGAUGCUUGGGCAAUAUCGAGAAUAUAGUAAUGGACAAGCCGGUACUAUAGAACAUUUAAAAGAAAGCUUGGAACAAUCAAUAGGCCAACUGCGGAGUCAACGUAUAUUGAGAAACUCAAGAGGGAGAAGUAUGUCUGUUACCAGUCUAAGUACAAGUGACCCUGAUGCUGGCAUGAUGGCAGAAGGUCACCAUUUUUCUCCAACUUCACCUCUCAAGAACUAUGAUCCACAAGGAAAUAAAAGAAUUAAAUCCAGAACUGGUGUUCGGUUUAGUCGGGAGACUGAAGACAUGACCCAGUUUCACGCUUUUCAUCAGUCCCUCCGAGACCUCAGCAGUGAGCAAGUUCGCCUUGGCGAGGAUUUCAACAGAGAGCUUUCCAGAAGGAGCCGGUCAGAUGCUGAAACAAAAAAGGCUUUGGAAGAAUUGACUGAAAAACUUAAUGAAGCCCAGAAACAAGAAGUGGUUUCAGAUCGAGUGGAGCGGAGGCUACAGGAGAUAGAGAGAGAGAUGCGCACAGAAAGAGAGCUGGUGGAAAGACGUCAGGAUCAAUUGGGACUGAUGUCAUUAAAGCUGCAGGAGGUAUUGAGGAAACAAGAAGCUAAAGCAGAAGAGAAUGAGGGAGCAAUAAAAAAUAAGCUAAGACAAACUGAAACUGAGAAGAGUCAACUUGAACAGGAAUUGGAGCGAUCUCGCAGGCUGUUGAGUCAGUCGGAAGGCAACAGAGAAAUCCUUUUGCAUCAGGUAGAAGAGCUGCGUACACAACUUACAAAAGCAGAAGGUGAUUCGAAGGGCUUAAAACAUCAAGUAUCCCGGAUUUCCAAGCAACAGUCAGAUCAGGAGGACCAUGAAGACUGGAGGUUUAGGAGAGGGGUAGAGCAAGAAAAACAGGAUCUGGAGAAGCAGAUGUCAGAUUUGAGGGUGCAGCUGAACUUCAAUGCAAUGACAUCUGAGUUAGAGGAAGUGAAACGGUGCAUGGAGCGAAAAGACAAAGAGAAAGCAAAUUUGGCAGCACAAAUAGAGCUUCUAAAAGAAAAGGAUGAUUUGAAAAAUCAGCUUUAUAUAGCAUUGCAACAGAUAGAGAAUCUUAGAAAAGAAUUGAAUGAUGUCUUAACCAGGCGUGCCCUUCAAGAGGAAGAGAUUGACUCUAAGGAGAGGAAACUAAGUGAUAUUCAGUCUCAUCAAGCGGAGCUUGAACAGGAAGUCAAGAAUUCUGUGGAUACCAUUCAAAGACUAGAGAGUGAAUUAAAAAAGCAGAAUAUGGUUCAAAGCCAGAUGAAAUUUGAGAAAGCUCACCUGGAAGAAGAAAUUGCAGAAUUAAGGAAGAGCCAUCUUCAGGACAAAGCUAAACUUCUUGAGAUGCAAGAGUCCAUCAAGGACUUAAGUGCCAUUCGAGCAGAUCUUGCUAAUAAAUUGGCCGAAGAAGAGAAAGCCAAGAAAAUGGUGCUUAAGGACCUUUCUGACCUCACAGCCCAGGCAAAAUCGAAGGAUGAAGAAACAGCUACUGUCAUCACACAGCUGAAGCUGGAGCGAGAUGUUCACCAGAGGGAGCUGGAAGAUCUCACAUCUUCACUGCACAGUGUGAAAAUGAAACAUGAACAAAAUAUUCAGGAGCUGAUGAAGCACUUUAAGAAAGAAAAGAGUGAAGCAGAGCAUCAUAUUAGGACGCUGCAGGUACCUGUGCUGAAUUAUCUUGAUGAU
This 2222-nucleotide long non-coding RNA is filed under the name Cavia porcellus (domestic guinea pig). RNAcentral's name for it is "lncRNA (ENSCPOG00000039645.1)". The record is from RNAcentral. Lineage: Eukaryota; Metazoa; Chordata; Mammalia; Rodentia; Caviidae.